RNAcentral lists this ribosomal RNA (444 nucleotides) under uncultured marine eukaryote. RNAcentral's name for it is "partial 18S ribosomal RNA". It matches the Rfam family "Eukaryotic small subunit ribosomal RNA", at positions 121 to 565 of the family's 1831-position model. The record is from RNAcentral.
UGGAUAGUAACAGUUACUUGGAUAACUGCGGUAAUUCUGGAGCUAAUACAUGCACAAAGCCUCAACCUUACGGGAGAGGUGCUUUUAUUAAAUCAAAACCAAACGGCUUCCGGUGUACUCUUGGUGACUCUGAAUAACUUUGGGCUGAUCGCAUAGCCUUGCGCUGGCGACAUAUCCUUCAAGGGUGUGCCCUAUCAUGUGUCCAGUGGGGUAUACACCCCCACAGGGUUUUUGAGGGAAAAGGGGAAAUCGGGUUUCUUUUCGAGAGAGGGACCCUUAAAAACGGCCCCCAUCUCUAGAGAGGGCAGCGGGCACGCAUUUUCCCCUGUGACCAAAGGGCGGGGUAGUGAAAAAAAAAAACUAUCGCGCACUCCUCAGAGGCCCUAUAAUUGAAAAGAACACUUUUUAAACCCCUCCCCGAAGAUCUUUUGGAGGGAAUCUGGG